This 253-nucleotide ribosomal RNA is filed under the name uncultured bacterium. RNAcentral describes it as "partial 16S ribosomal RNA". It matches the Rfam family "Bacterial small subunit ribosomal RNA", at positions 524 to 776 of the family's 1533-position model. The record is from RNAcentral.
UACGAAGGGUGCAAACGUUGCUCGGAAUUAUUGGGCGUAAAGCGCACGUAGGCGGCUCUGUAAGUCGGAUGUGAAAUCCCUCGGCUUAACCAAGGAAGUGCAUCCGAAACUGCAAGGCUUGAGUACUUAAGAGGAUCGCGGAAUUCCCGGUGUAGAGGUGAAAUUCGUAGAUAUCGGGAGGAACACCAGUGGCGAAGGCGGCUCACUGGACCACAACUGACGCUGAGGCGCGAAAGCUAGGGGAGCAAACAGG